AGGCCUGAUUCUACAAUUGGGCCAUUUUUAUUGUCCAACCUGUUGACUGGCCUAUUUCAUUAAGAGAUCACCUACCAUACAGGUGACAUUAUCUACAGUUGUACAACAUAUUCAUCUUAUCCCUUUUACUUUUCUAAUUUCCAUAAACUGAUACACUUUCCCCAAUUAAUCAGUGAACAUUAUAAUCUCUUUCCCUACGAUGAAUGACCUUGUCCUCAAUGUUAUUGUGCAGCAAAAAAUUUGGGAAAUCGAUGCUUGAUAUAUCCCCAGUCAUUCCAAGUAGCGUUGUCCACGCCAAGGUUUGCCCAUUCAAUUAAAACUUUCUUACCAACACCAUCUUUAACCUUAACUAUUUUUCUACUUAAGAUAGUAAUGGGUUGAAUCAAAACGUGUUCGGAGUCAUCACAUGCCGGAGGUUGAGAUUGAGGAGAUAUAACUGGACCAACUGAUCACUUUAACUAGGAAAUAUGAAAAACCGAAUGUAGCUGUGAACCUGGCGGUAGUUCACGGCGAUAAGCUACUUCGCCGACCCUCUAUAACACCUUUUGAGGCCAAAAGUAAUGCGCGCACAAAUUGAUAUUCUUGUGCACAUCAAUUGGAGAUUGACAAUAAGGCUGUAAUUUUAGUUUGAUAGGGAUGGAGUGGUCAUGACCUCUAUUUGGUGGCAAGGAUUUUGGUUUAGAGAAAAACUCUAGAAAGUCUUGUAAGACUCUAUUGAUCUCAUCAGCCACGACUGAGGUUCACCCUCCUCAGAGUAAGGACAUUCUACCUUGGACCUCGUGAAGUGGUUGUACGACCUUCCAUUAGAAUUAUCCUGGGAAUCCAUCAUUCGAACUCUACUACCCAAAGUUUUUGAAGGAUGCCUCUCUACUGUUCCACUACCCAGAAUGCCAUCCUUGUUCGCGAAGAAUUUCUCCAUCAUCAUAUUCAAUUUGCAAUGCAAUUCGUCCAUUUUUGAGAUAUUUGACUCCAAUUUUUUAUUAGUUUCUGUCAUGUAGUUUUGAAAUUGAUUCUCCAAUUUUUUGACACUUUCCUCCAUAGAUUUUGCAUGAGUUUCGGUUAUAGUUAUGGUGCCAAGAAAAGGCUCUGAUACCACUUUAUUAUGUAUUAAGAAUUGAAAAUAAAAUUUGAUAACAAAACAAUAAUAGAAACAGGAGUUCUUUUAUUAA
Molecule: long non-coding RNA, 1169 nt
Organism: Capsicum annuum
Lineage: Eukaryota; Viridiplantae; Streptophyta; Magnoliopsida; Solanales; Solanaceae
Exons: 3
Source: RefSeq, a predicted model, not a curated record